This 460-nucleotide ribosomal RNA is filed under the name uncultured bacterium. Its description in RNAcentral is "partial 16S ribosomal RNA". It matches the Rfam family "Bacterial small subunit ribosomal RNA", at positions 338 to 795 of the family's 1533-position model. The record is from RNAcentral.
CCUACGGGAGGCAGCAGUGAGGAAUAUUGGUCAAUGGGCGCGAGCCUGAACCAGCCAAGCAGCGUGAAGGAUGACUGCUCUACGGGCUGUAAACUUCUUUUAUAAAGGAAUAAAUUGAGGCACGUGAGCCUUUUUGUAUGGACUUUAUGAAUAAGGAUCGGCUAACUCUGUGCCAGCAGCCGCGGUAAUACGGAGGAGCCGAGCGUUAUGCGGAUUUAUUGGGUUUAAAGGGAGCGUAGAUGGGUUGUUAAGUCAGUUGUGAAAGUUUACGGCUCAACCGUAAAAUUGCAAUUGAUACUGGCAGUCUUGAGUACAGGUGAGGUAGGCGGAAUUCGUGGUGUAGCGGUGAAAUGCUUAGAUAUCACGAAGAACACCGAUUGCGAAGGCAGCUUACUAAACUGCCACUGACAUUGAUGCUCGAAAGUGUGGGUAUCAAACAGGAUUAGAUACCCUUGUAGUC